This 5282-nucleotide long non-coding RNA is filed under the name Sus scrofa (pig). RNAcentral's name for it is "lncRNA (ENSSSCG00000055100.1)". Lineage: Eukaryota; Metazoa; Chordata; Mammalia; Artiodactyla; Suidae. The record is from RNAcentral.
UUUUUUUUUUUUUUUUUUUGUCUUUUUGCUAUUUCUUUGGGCUGCUCCCGCGGCAUAUGGAAGCUCCCAGGCUAGGGGUCGAAUCAGAGCUAUUGCCACUGGCCUACGCCAGAGCCACAGCAACUCGGGAUCUGAGCCGCGUCUGCAACCUACACCACAGCUGGCGGCAACGCUGGAUCGUUAACCCACUGAGCAAGGGCAGGGACCGAACCUACAAUCUCUUGGUUCCUAGUCGGAUUCGUUAACUACUGCGCCACGAUGGGAACUCCCGCUUUGAAAAUAUUUCCCCCAACGUGUACCCUGUCUUUUCACCCCCAAUGGUGUCUUUUGAAGUGCAGUGUUUACUAUUUUAAUAAGUACAGCUUAUCAAUAUUUUCUUACUUUGUUUUGUGUCUCUCAAAGAUCACUGUCCCUUGUUGCCUGAUGUCCAGUGUCUUGAGAACCAUCGUUUCAUAUACUUUUUCUGGAAGUUUCUCCCUCUCUCUUGGUUGUUUCAAGUGAGAUAGUAAGGUUGCUUUCUAUUACUCUUAGUUGUCAGUAGGAACCCCUUUCGGUUUUCAGAGAUUGUAAAUAUACUAAUCAACAACUCGAAAAAAUUUUGUCCUCUGGCAUCUUCCUUCAGAUAUAACUUGGGGGAGUUCCACUUGUGGCACAGUGGAAACAAAUGUGACUAGGAUCUAUGACGCAGGUUUGAUCCUUGGCCUCGCUCAGAGGGUUAAGGAUCCUAGUUGCUAGGGCUGUGUUGUAGGCUGACAGCUACAGCUCUGAUUCGACCCCUAGCUGGGAACCUCCAUAUGCCGUGGGUCCUAAAAAAGCAAAAAAAAAAAAAAAAAAAAAAAAAAAGGCAAAUAUAACGUGGAGAUUUUUUAGACAGUCGGGUUUUGUGUCUCUUACUUUGUGCCCAAUAAAAUGAUUACUUUUGACUGUUUUUUUAUCACAUAAAUUUUGGCUAUUGUUUUAAUAUUUCCUCUUAGCUUAUUUUAUCCUUUUAUACCAGUCUAUUCUUUGAGAACAAAUUUUAUUUCUCUUGGAACAUGAUAUCAAAGAAUGAAUUUGGAGGAAAGUUUAAGCUUGAAUCCUCAGGGGGAAGAAAGACACCACAGGAAACAAAUGCUAUAGCCACAAUUUCUGGAGGUAUUGAAAUAAAUGGCUGUUAAAUUAAUUGCUAGGUAAUCAGGGAUCUGUUGUCAGUACGUAAAUAAGUACGUAAAUAAGGUGCUAUAAACUGUGUUCUCUACGAAGCUGUUGCUGAUGCUGAUGGCUAUCUCCAUGGGCAAGUGAGAAAACCAACAGGAAGAUGAUGGAUAUUAGUGAAAAUAGUAAUAAUUGUAGAUCUCUGAUUAUUCUGGUCCAAACUGAUAUUUUUCUUCUUCUCAUUUUGAUUACACAUAUAUUCUUUUCUGUAGAGACUGGCUUAUUAGUAUGGCCUAUUGAAAGAAGUUUCACCGAUUCUUUUCUCCUCAAUAGCACUACAUACUCUUUGAUGGUAGACACUGAGUUUAUGCCAAGUAGAAAGACUUUAAUUUCUAUCCUCUGAAGUUCUUUAAGGAGUAUAGUGGAGCCUGCCGGUUGUCCACCCAGAGCCACUGUCUCCGUCCACGGUCAGCCUCAUUGUACACAACUAGACUACAUUUUACAGCCCCCUUGCUCUUAGGCAUCGCGGGGGAAAUAGUUCUCACCAGUGGAAUGUGAGAAGUGAUGUGUCCCCACUCUGGGUUGGGGACUUAAUUCAUUCAGCGUGCCUGCUCCAGAUUCUUUUAUUCCUUCCCACCAGCUGAAAUGCAGACAUGGAAAGCACCCAGCUUUUACCAAGAAAAUGAUGAAAAUGUCCUAGAAAAAGCCCAGGACUGGACAUCAUAAAGAGCAGAGCUUCUCCACUGACCUGGAUCUUUGACACUGGGACUGCUUCAAGAGAAAGAGAUAUACCCCUUUAUUCUUUUAAAAAAUUAAAUUAAAAAAAAAUUUUUUUUUUGUCUUUUUAGGGCCACACCCACGGCAUAUGGAGGUUCCCAGGUUAGGGGUCCAAUCGAAGCUGUAGCCGCUGGCCUACACCACAACCACAGCAAUGUGGGAUCUGAGCCAUGUCUUCAGCCCACACCACAGCUCACAGCAACGCUGGAUCCUUAACCCAGAGAACAAGGCCAGGGAUGGAACCUGGGUCCUCAUGGAUACUAGUCAUGUUCGUUAACCACUGAGCCAUGAUGGGAACUCCCCCUUUAAUCUUUAAGCCCCUGAACCAGAUCAUCUUUGUGACAGCAGCCUAGCUUUUACGUCAACAACCCCUCCUUCACUUUGUCCAGGUGGGAGCCAGGAAUUUUACUCACUGGAGAGAUGGAAUCAGACAAAUCCUCAACAUAUUGUAGGAAGGUGUAGAGGUAAAGCAUAGCUGCAAACAGGAGAGUUGAGUGAAAAUCUUCAUGUUUACUUUCCAUGUGGCAGAUUGAAGAAUUCCCUUUUGGGCUCAUUCUUAUGGAAAGAAUGAUCUGUAAUGCCACGAAAUAGCUGGAUCCCAACACCCAAGUGCCUACACUGAUGCCACUCAGUCAAUAAGCUCCAUCAGGUACACAGAGUUUUGGUCAUACCUUUAGAUCAGUGCCUUGACUCCAAAUAUGAAUGGACAGCCCACAGUCACCAAGCAUUUGAGGAAAGCCUCUGUCAUGAAGAAAGAUCAAAAUGGACUUAUAGAAAACAAAACAAAAAGUUUUGAAUGAGAAAUAAUGCAGGGAAUAGAAGAAAAUGAAAAGCUAAAGCAAAUUCAAUCUGGAAAAUCAGCAACUAUAUAGAGAAAAGAAGAUACUGCAAGAAUAAAACAAGAGUAGUCAUCUAUAUAUGCAUGGGUAUGGAGAGCAAGAAAUAACUCAAAAAUUAAAAAAGAGGAUAAUGGAAAGGAACUCUAAAUAUUGAUCUUAAUAAAAAUUAUGGUGGAAUUGGGAAGAUGAGAGAAGUAUGUAGAAAGUGGGUAAGGUGAUGGUAGGAAGAAAGUUUGAGAAGAAUGGGUUAGAACAGCUGUUUUUCAUAGUAAACCAUGUAGAGUCUUUAUCUUUUGAUAAAAACAAAAUAAAAUUACGGAGUUCUCACUGUGGCACAAUGGGAUUGGCAGCAUUUGGGGAGCUCUGAGAUGCAGGUUCGAUUCCCAGCCUGGCAAGGUGGGUUAAGGAUCUGGCAUUGCUGCCACUGCAGCUUAGGUCACAACUACAGCUUGGAUCUGAUCCCUGGCCUGGAAACUCCAUAUACUGCGGGGUGGCAAAAAAAAAAAAAAAAAAGUUAAAAAAUUUAUAAAAAAGAAAACUAGUAAGAUGAAAGACACAUCAAGACACUUCACUUAAACUGAAUGCUCUUAACCAUUCUAGAAGGGAAGAGAGAUCUUUUAGUUUUCCCUAUGUCAGUAAACUUUCACAUUAUAAGGACCAUGGGGAAGCCAGGAUAGGUGAGAGAAUUCUCUACUGAAACCCCACAGGCAGUCUUUGACUAACAGGAAUUAUUUCAGCUCCUCGGGAGGCAAGGAAAAGCCUUGUUCCUAGACCCCAGACAUUUCAACCUGUGCUGACCAAGGGGACAUUUGAGUAAGGAGGAGACUGUACAUUAUAAGUUAUAAGCUGUCAUUAAUAUUGACAACAACAAAGAACUCUUAGAAGGGACAUUAUACGUAAUUUGUAGAAUUAUUCCUUUAACUAUUUUCAUUUCUUACUGUGCAGGAAUGUGAUUAAUAAUAUGCAGUAUUGUCGUCUAGUCAAGUUUUCUUAUGAGAGUUCCUAUUUUGGCUCAGCAGGUUGAGAACCUGACGUAGUGUCUGUGAGGAGGCCAGUUUGAUCCCUUACUCAGGGGGUCAAGGAUCUGGCAUUGCCGUGGCUGUGGUGUAGGCCACAGCUGCAGCUCUGAUUUGCUGCAACCUUUAGUUAGGAACUUUAUAUGCCGCAGGUACAGACAUUAAAAAAAAAAUCUUGUUAUUCUAGAAGGAAUACGCUUUUGUGUAAAGUUAACCCAAUGUUUUGAAACAUAUUGAUGUGUAAUCACUGCCAAAUGCUAAAUAUAUAUAACCUGGUACAGGAAGAACUGAUAGAAGUUAGGUUAUUUACUAAUUUUAUUAAUUUUAAAAACGUUUUAUUUUAUUUUUAUUUAUUUUUGGCUUUUUAGGGCUGUACCCACAGCCUAUGGAAGUUCCCAGGCUAGGGGCACAAUCUGAGCUAAGUUGCCAGCCUACACCAUAGCCAUAGCAACAUGGGAUCCAAGACACAUCUGUGGUCUACACCACUGCUCACAGCAAUGCUGGAUCCCCAGCCCACUGAGCGAGGUCAGGGAUCAAAACCUCAUCCUCAUGGAUACUAGUUGGAUUCGCUUCUGCUGCACCACAACAAGAACUCUCAAUUUUAUUCUUGAUUUGCUUUAUGAUGCAGGAAAAGUACUUAUUUCAUAAUUUAAUCACCCUCUUUCAUGAAAACUGGAUAACAUUGUAUCUGCCUAUGUUAUUGGCAUAUUGCAGGGAUGCAUAAGAGUGGUUUAUAGAGUGGCAUUUAUGACUUAUAGUGUCAUGAUAUUUAUCAAUUAGCAUUUUUAUGUAAUUGCUCUCUCGUCAUAUAUUUGUGUGACCUUGAUAUCUUUCUGUGCCUCAGUUUCCUUACUUAUAAAACAAAGAAUGUUGGGCUAAAAAAUUUCAUGAUUAUAAAAUAGCUCUUGUCAAUUUACAAUUUUCAAAAUUCGUUUUUAAAAAUUCCUGAAUGUAAAAUAAUAAUGACAGAAUUACAUCUGCUAAGUAUCCAUGCAUAUAUUUUACAUAGUCAGAAUAAUGGAAUGUACAUUUUAACAUGGGAUAUGAAUGUAUAUCCUAAACUCCCUUUUGUUUCUAAGUAAGAGAAAAGAUAAAGAACUAAAGCUUUAUGAUCAAAGGAUCUUUGUUACUCCACUUCAUAAUUUCCCAUGUGUGGAAUCCCUGGAGGUGGAAAGUAGAGCUCAUCAACCAACCAACCAUCUCUUCCCUGACUGAGUUCUAAGUAGAUGACUGAUGGGGGCGACAGUAAAGAAAGUGAUUCAGGACGAGAAGAAGGCAGGCCUCCAACUGUGUCCACAAUUAGGGUCUCAUCUGCCUGUUGGAGGUCCCACUGGACUGGGGUGACCCACACAGGGCAUGUAAGUGCCCCAGCAAGGCCAGCUACAUGGAGAGCAGAGAAGCAAUAAAGAUCUCAAUCGCCUGGGCGGUGGGGGGGGGGGGGGGGGAAGAGCCUCCUUGCCUGCCUGCUUGCAUCUCUCUCAAGCAUCCUAUCUUAAUAAAUCUAUUUCUUGCCUAU